Molecule: long non-coding RNA, 9084 nt
Organism: Taeniopygia guttata (zebra finch)
Lineage: Eukaryota; Metazoa; Chordata; Aves; Passeriformes; Estrildidae
Source: RefSeq, a predicted model, not a curated record
AGUAGAGGUGCUGGUCAAAUGAAAGGUAAUCACAAUACUUGUGUUUAUGGAAAACUUGAGCACCAGCAGCAAGAUACAAACCCUUGAUAGUAGUUUUCAGGCAUGAAUUCAAGCUAGGUGUUACAGACUGCACACAUGGUCCCAGUGGAGAAAAACCUUCCAUAAAAAUCUGUUCCUCAAGACAGUAAAAAAAAAAAAAAAAAAUCUGUUAAUUCCCCAUUCCAGCAGAAUGUGAAUAUCAUGUCAGCUUCCUGGACCUGCAUGCCAGAUGUGAGCAUGUCACAACUGCUCUGUAUCCUGUUUGAUGUUGCCUGUCAGAAAUGAAAACCUGUCAAGUCCUCCUUUGGGCAGGUAUGUGUGAGUGUGUGCAGCGUGUGCAUGCACACAUAUGGAAACUUUUGCUGGACACAUGCACACAUUGAGUUUUAAGUCUACCAGAAAUGUUUCCAGGGCAGAAAGAAAGCAAGCCAUUUUCACUUGAAACACUUGCCUUCAUGUGUUAUUGAAUUAAAUGUAAUUUUGUGAAUGUUUCAUGGUCAGAAUCUCAUAUCAGUGGUUUUCUUUCCCCCAGAUAUGUUAGUAAGAUUCCACAUAGUACAGAAAAUGAUUUUGCAACACUUAAACAGUCUGUUGAGAUGAUUUUUCCUGUUGACUUCAGUUAAAUUUAGAUUGCAAUUUCCUUUCUAGAAGAUGAAUUUACCUUUGUCAUUGAGAAUGAAUUUGGGCUUAUCAAUGCUUCUAUACAUCAGGGCUCCAACACCUUUGAAGAGGCUACAACAAGUUCCCUAAAUUCAGUGCUUAUUGAAUAAGUGCAUUUGUUCCUAAGGAAAGGACACUGAAAGAAAAAAAAAUGAAAGAAAAGAAAAUAGGGCAGCAAUGUGGAAAGGAUAUCCACAAGUCAUGGCCAGGUCUCAGGAAUUUACACUGUUACCUGCUGUGGGAAAUUAAAAACAUGGGAUGGCAGCAUGUGCUUGCCUCUCUGUAGCCACACUUACAAAUGUGUAAAAGUGAUUUGCUUGCAAGAAGUGCAUGAUUAAAGUAGAAUAUCCCAGGGCUUUUAAAAAUAAUUUUAGGCUGGGAUUUUCAUGGAUCAAGAGAAAUAGACAAGUGCACUCUAGAUUUUGUAAUUCUGGUAGGGUAAAUUUAAAAACAAAAGAAAGAAAUUACAACAUUUUUGCUUUUGUGAAAAGAUCAUUCAAUAUAGCCGCACAUUAGUUGUGUGAAACGUUCAUACUAAAUUCACAAUAUUUUAAGGUUAGAAGACGCGACUUGCUAGUGCAAAAUACAUUGCUAAUCAGUUUGUCCUUGGCAUAAUUCAUGUAUCAGUUGUGGAUGCUAUACCACACAGGUAACCUCUCAGAAAUCAUGGCUUUACUAAUCUAUGUGUAUAAUUACAGCCUUUGUCUCCUCUGACAGGCAUUAUGUUGUCAGGCCAGGCAGCAGCUUGCUGAUGAACUCAUAAAAGAGCAACAAUAUGUAGUCUCAGACAGCUAUAAGAUCCAGCCCCACCAUGGAUUGCCAAGAUUAUUUAAUAGACUGUUAAACACAUUUUAAAUUCUAGCUACAAUUGUGAUUUAAAAUUUAUUUUACAAAUAUGUUUUUGUUACUAGUCUUUCAACUAAAAACUUCAAUUUUUUUUCAUCAAGGAAAGAACCAGCACUUCCAUCUAGAGUUCCUGGAGAAGGGUGUACCAAGGAGCACACCCUGUGUACUCUGCCUCCAUCAGGGCAGUGAAGCUACAUGAUACCCAAAAUACUGUCAGGAAAUGGAGGGGCUGGGCCCUGAGACCUGGUCGGGAGCAAAGGACUGGAGGCAGAAUACCUGAAAGUGCUGACUUUUCAGUAGGAUUUCCCCCAGGCAAUCAUCCACCUUACUGGGAGCAAAUAGCUAAGAGACAUGCUUAAAGUCCAGGCAAGAACUGAAAUAUCACACCUGGUUCUAAUUUCUUCAUAAAGAAUAAAAUAUACUCUCUGGUCUAAACUAAACAUACACAUAAAUAUACCAGUAAAAGCAGAUGGUUAAAGUGGGUGUAAUCUCCUUAAUACAAAUGAGAGCUACCAUUCUCUGUGCAAAGCCAAACAUCCCUGCCAUGCUGCAGUUAUGUAAGGUUUACCUCAUGGUUGGUGGGGGAUGAGGGGGAGAGCAUGAUAGCAGGACAGCUAUCCAUGAAAAAAAUGAAACAUUUUAACUGUGUCAAAUAGAUCAUAGCCCAAUACUACAGAAUGGAGUAUGCCAAACUAGCUAUCAGAAUAGUACAAAAGUCAGAGAAACAGUACUAUACUUCACAAUGACACAGAGGUCAUGAAGCUCAUUUGCUUUAAAUAAUAAGAUGUAUUUCUGAAUAACACCCUUUUAGCUGCCCACUGUGCCUAUGCUGACUCAGAUCAGUGAUCAUGAACCUAUUUUCCCAGGAGGUAACUUUUCAGUAAGUCACUUCUGUGUGAAAUGUCACUUGUAAAUGAGGAAGGAAAUCUAUUUAGCCAUACAUUUGAUGGGAGAUAAAUUGCUGGGGGUGUUAUUUUUGUAGUUGCUCUCUCUACACAGCCCAGGUAGGAGACAAAGCAGGACAUAUCUCUUAUAGACUCAGUGCAAUAAAGUGUAAAUAAUUAAAAGCUUUUUGGUAUUAUCCUGCCUUCUUUUAAAACAUGUCUUCAAUAAUUCAAUUUUUUUUUCUUGGAAGUGUUUUGUUACACAUCUUCAGUAACUUCCACAGUUUUCUUGGUUAACUUUGGGAUAGCAUGAUUUACUCUAUACAUGCAUGUUCAUUGCUGUGUUACUGUUUGUAUGCUGGGGGAAUUUUAAUUUUCGUCUCCCAUACUCAUAAUUUUCCACAUCACAUGUGAAUCAUCACAUCUUCUGCCUCUAUUAGCCACUGUUAGCAACAGUAGGUAACACAAUCACGGUGUUCACUCUUUUAAGUAGGAUUAAGACUCAAGGCCUGCAGUUUCUUCCUUCUUUUUACAGUGUGUCCUUGCUGUCCCUGGAGAAUUCAGCCUGUCCCUCUGGGUGCCACAGAGCGCUUCUCUGAUUCUCAGGAAACUGAAUAUAGACUGCUCCUCACUCAGAAGGUGUCAAACAUGUCAGAAAGAGGUGGAUGACUUGUGAAGUGCUGUGCACUCUCUUCAGAUUAGGGUGAUUUAGCAAUGCUAAGGGCAGUUGUCUACUGACCUGAAAGGCAUCGAACACCAAGACUGUAAGGAGAUCUUCAGGUCUGCCAAUACCUGCAAACUCAUCACUGUUGUCUAACAGAAAUAAAACUUGUUUUUACAUUGCUAAGGGUCUCUAGGCUUUAAAAGCAAAACCAAGGAUUUUGCUUGCACAUCAUGCAGCUCAGAAUGAAAAUACAAAAAUACCAACCCCCAAACUAACCAAGAACACACAAACAGCCGAAGAUAUACUGUUCAUUGUACUUAUAAAGGAUAUGUUUGAUAAACAGUUUCCACAUGUAGAAUCCAAAUUACAGUCAAGACUGCAGAUGUGGCAAAACAGGACACUUGUCUUCGCUGGGUGCUCCCCAGAGGAUCUGGAUGUGUACUGUGGAAAGCUGCACUUGUCCUCUCCUUCCAGAUGACUUCCAAUGUGACCUUGGGCAAGUAACUCGUCCGUGCCUCAGGUAGUUUGCCAUAAAAUUGUGCUCUCAUUCUGCAUCUUUGACUGGCCUUGUUUAUUUACACAGUAUACUAGUCAGAAUAGAUGCUGUUACUCACUCUGUGUUUGUACAACAGAUAGCAAACAGAGACCCUGACCUUAGCAGGAGCUCACAGGUGACCCACCGUGUUGUGAGAGAUGUCAGGAUGUCAGAAACAAAAAUAAUGCUAAUCUUUCUCUUGUCUCAGCCUCUAUGUUAAAGAAUUUGAAACAGUAUACAAAACAGUUCAACAAGACUUUGGAUAUGCACGGAUGACAUGUUUUUCUCUAUGACUUUCUAAAUUUAUGUCUAACAUGGAGAAUGGAAGACAGUGGACUUGGCUUCUCCAGCAUAUGGGUAUUUGUUACACUCAAUUCUUCUGCUUCAACAGCAGAUUCAUUUUGGCAUGAUUCCUCAAUUACAUGACUUGUCUCAGUUCAAAGAGAUAUAAAUCACUAGUACUUCAGGUGCCUGUGCUAAAUUUAGAGAGGAUAUUCAAUAAUUAAAUUCAAUAAUGUAGUGUCGUUUUCUUGUCAAAGGCAGAAAAAAAAUCCCCAAGUAGAACAGAAUACUGCCAAGCUUGUGUUUGUUAAUUCACCUAAGGAUGGAGGCAGUGAGUGGCUUCUGGCAGAGGACAUCAGUGGGAUCGCUGGUGCCAAAGCAGUUUGCAGCUCCAGAGAAACAAGUCCCACCACUACAUAAGGAAUGCUUACAUGUAGACACACAUAAAUCGCUUAAUUUUGGAACUUUUAUUAAAGUGGCCACAGCACUGUGUUUCUUAGCAUAGAUAGCAAAAUCCUUUCUCAAUUGCAGAGUCUGCAGAGUCCUGCAGAGAGCAUGAGCAUGUCCCUAGCUAAGUGCUGUUCCCCUUUUCUGUAAGAGAUGCUUAAUCUCACCAGGCCAGAGUAUGCUUUGCUCUCUAGACUAACAUUUGCCCCCACACCUCUGAGAGCAUGAAACAAACCUUGAGAUGCAUCCACUCUUGUUUCUUCUAUAAAUUCUAGCAAUUCUUUUUCCUAAGGGUAAUUUUUUCAAUACUUGUAAAUUUACCCUUUAUUAAGGGUAAAUUCUUAUUACUAGAAGGAGUUGUUCCUUCAGAGCAUCCCUAGGUCAGUCUCAAAGUUACAACAGGCCAUGCCAGACUCAUCAAGGAAGGCAAAGCUUUUAACUUUCCUCUGUAUCAAAAUAGUGGUACCCUGCCCUGUAGCAGGGCCACACAGCAGAAGCAGGGAGAGACACAGGGGUGCUCAGGAACCAGCUUUGCACUAAGGGAAAUAAGGAUUAACUUUGCCCGCCUGCCAUAGAAGCAGCAAGGAAAUGCUGGAAAGGCUGUAAAGCAAAGAACAAGAGGAGGUGGGCCCGAUCUCGUCAAUAUAAACAAUAGCUUUAGAAAUGUAUUUGAAACAGUAUAACUAGGUUCACUGCAGUGGGUAGUUGAAAUGUCCAUGUUGUAGGUUUUGUGACAUGCAACCUCAUACAUGCAAAGCAGAUCAGUUGGAGAUGCUGAGGAUUUUCACCAGAGAUCAUCUGCCAGUGGUGUUUACCAUGCACUUUCUGCAGUCUGCUGUUCCUUCUCUCUCUGAUCUGCAGUAGAGAGUUGAGCUUUGCUGUUAUGAUGAAAAUUCCUCUCCCUUUUGGGAUAAUGAUCAAAACCCCACCCAAAUUUACCAGAUACAUCCACCCAUCCCAUGCAGACCAGCUCUGUGCAGAAAACAUGUUUGCUCUGUUUGUGAAUGAAACCAGGCAGAGGCAGGGAAGACAGGAUGAAACCCAUUCCUCUCUUCUGGCACGGUGCCCUCCUUCCAUUGCUCUGCUGUCCCUGAAGCUGACAGGAGAACUCCACUGGAGCUCCUGCUCCUACUGUGGGCUUAUCUUGCCUCAGGGAAACCACUUCUCCCUGAGCCAAGCACCGUGCUCUUUAGCACAGCCAUCCUUUCAGUGCCAGUCAGUGCGCAGCCUGCUCUAUGCCCAUGACCAUACCUCUCCGCCCAGAUGCUCAGCCUCGCUUAGCUUUUGCUUCACUGGACUUUGAAUAUUGUAAUACCAGGCUUCCCAGCAACAUCUGGAUGUGCAAUGUUUGCUACCAGCUGUACUUUAUACAGUGUGAUGACGUGAAGAAGAGAUUUUAAAAUCACUGAGGUCUGUCCUGGAGGGCAAACUUCACCUUUACAAGUGGCCACUUACAGAGCAGGGUCCCAUGUCAAAGAAAAAUCAUAGAAUGUUAUUUUUCAAAAAAAAUUCAUGGGAACAAAAAUACAAGGGAAACACAGAAAUACUAAAGCAUGUCACUGUGGGUUCAACUCCUGCCGACAUAAGACAUCAAGAAUAUCAGGAGGAAACCCCAGGAAAGGCAGUGCAGGCAGCAGGGCUGCAGACAGCCUUGCUAGGGGUCAUAGGCUGCCCCCACCCCUGUUAUUUUUCCCCACAGGCAUCUGACUCCUUUGGCAGCAAGAGGAGGAAACAGCCCCAGGCCCAGGCAGGCAUCCAGGGAGCCCUGUCUGUUUGCAGCCAGAGGCAAAGGCUCAUGCAAUUAUUGUGUGAAGCUGAAAGACAGUUAUUCUGCUGUCUUCAUUUUUAAAGACAAGGAAAGCAUGGGUCUACAAGCUGAACACUGCUGUACCAUGUUGACAGCAUUUCUUGUCGAUGACCUCAGUAUUUGCUCAUUCUGACAUCACUGUCAGGAGCAAUAUAAUUCAGGCUGGUGUCCUGUGAAAUGCUCCCUGGGCAGAUUUACAAGAGAAUAAGGGCAUGUGCCCUUCUGGACAGCAAGCCAUUAUGUUCUUACCUUUCAAAAUGAGACUGUGAAUAGUGAUGAGGGAAGUUUGGAACAUUCCCUCUCAUCCACUGCUGAUCAUUUCCAUUGCAUUUAGAAAUGAGGCCUUAAACCCUGAGGCCUUCACAACAUUUUCAGCAGACUUUUGAGGAAGAAAAGUAUAUUCUUUUGAGGAAGAAAAAUAUAUUCUAGUAUAGAGGUAUUCAAAGAAUUUCAGAGCAAUAUCCAUCUUCUGCAGAAUUAAAAGUUCUAUGUUUAUCAUAACAUUUUUCUGUGCAAAAGAUAUAUUGGUUGAAAAAGAAGGCAGAAAUUGCUUCAUAAAAGUCAAUAAUUGUUGUUUUUUUUUCUGAAAUGAAAGGUUUGGCCUGAACUCUGGAUCUCCCUUUAAAUCCCAGGAAUAUCUUUGUUGUCUUACAUAAGUCCCUUCUCCUCAGAGAAAUUUUCAUCCUUGUAUGAUUGAAAGUAAUAUUAUCUAAGAAAUGAGCUCAUGAGAAGCCAGACUGAACUGAUCCGUACAGUACAACAAACAUAUUGCCUGUACAUGAGUGCUAAUUAGCAUAUCAGCAUACAUGCUAUUCCUAGGAACUGCCCCUCUUUUUGUUAUCAAGCACUGAACCCAGUUCAGUACUGUACCUGUGCUUCAGACAACGUGAGAUCAUGAAUUGGAUUUUGAUGACAUUCAACUGAAAAAUCAGGCAGUCUAGGUCCUGAGGAUGCAUCCUAGCUAAGGAUGCCAUACCAAUUUAUGUUGGUGCUAAGUUACAGUUAUGUUCCUUCACUGUGAGCAAAAGGCAGAUACCAUAAACCACAUGUAGAAGUCAAUGAGGAGAGGAGCCUAAAUUGUGUCAGAGCAUCUCAUCUGUUGCAAUUAUUUGACAUCACUCUGCAGCAAGAAAGGGCGAGUAAUUGAGGCAAAGAUCUCUCCAACCACUACUCUCCAGCUUAGGGAUACAUGCCAAGUUGUGACUCGAUUACAUUCUUUUCCUAUUUAUUGAUCCUUCCUCAGGACAUCUUUUCUCCACAGUUACCACCACCAAAAAUGUACAAGCAAGUAAAGCGUACAGACAGUGUCCUAGCUGACUAUCUCAAAGGUGUAACAAAUGCAUGACUGCCAUUCAACUAGAUGCCAUUCAUCCAGAUGACUGGAUAUGAUAUUAAGGAUGAGAAAGGCAUGGAAUUCCAAAAUUUCUGUGAUCUUUAAUCUUAUUUUCAAGCUUCCAAAGACUUACAACACUCUAUCAAGUUACUUACAAUCCCCUUCUAAGUGGAAAAACUUUUUGUGGUUAGGCACAGCAUGUGAUCUGCAACAUGAUUUCUUCAAACAGGAGCCGAGUUGAGUUAUUCUAUACUGCUGUUGUUAUUGCAAAAUGAAACAAGACAAUUAUCAUUCAGGUUAUAGUGGUUUCAGAACUGUAAAAUUAUUAUCUACGUAUGUAGCUCAGUGGAGGAACUUUAUUAGGGAGCUCUAUCCACAUACAUGUUCUGCCUAAAGGGUUGUGUUCAAAAAGAAAUUUUGCUUAUACAUCUCUGCAGCAUGUACUCAGAAAUCAUUUGCUACUCAGUAUAACUAUAAAAAAAGCCCAUGUAAAAAUUCAAAGGUGAAAAUUCUUGAAAAUUAUCAGCUAAAGCACCUGAUAUAUUUUCCUGGUGCUGUAUUUUUUUUGCCAUGCUUGCUAUACCCCAGCAGUACUGCAGCACUGUUAAAAGGCAAGAGCUAUAGUUUUCCUGUGCUUCUUUUUUAUUGACUGUGGUGGGAAUGAAGUGGGGUCUUAGAUUUCACCAUGGGGCUUAGGGGCACGUGACACAUUUGCUUUGCAUAGGUUCCCAGUGGGAGCUUAGGGAAUAAGAGCAAACCUUAUUCUCUGCCUCCCUUCACACCACAGCAAGGCACAGACAAGGACUCAGUUAUCUGAGGCUGACCUCAGGCACAAGAUAAGUUGUGAGAGAUAUUUCUGGGCAGGAAAACAGACAUGGGUUUAGUCUUGUUAAACAAACACCCUGUUGUCUUGCCAGUGUUGAACUGGGUGCAGAAAAAAUCCACUUCCCACACGAAGCUGAUCUGACAUACAAAGGAACAGCUCUGGUUCUCAUCAUUCCAGAAUAGCACAAAUCCUGCCACCUGUGAUAAAAUAAGAAAGAAAUUUCACUUCAGUUAAUUUCUCUUCUGUCCUGUAAAAGCUAGUUAUGAGCCUCCUUCCUAUGAAAUGUGGUUUCAUAAGAGGCUUUCAUACAUUACUUUGAUUCUACUCUGAGUUUUUGUGUAAAAAGAUAAGGACAGCACAACCCUUCUUUCCUGCCUGCAUGCUGGCAUUAUUACCAAACAGGUCAUAAACAGGUCACCAACAAGGGGAGUGCUGGCAGGGCAGGCUGAGCUGCUUUCACUCCUGUUCAAUAGAGGAAGAGGUUUGGAACAUGAUACACUAAUUGGUUCCAGAGCCAUCUUUGCUCUUGGGUGGAUGGGAUGCUAGAACAAUGGGACAAGGAGUAAUUCCUUCAGUUUCAAACUUUUAAAAAUUCUAUAGCAUUCUCCAAUACAAAAAUAAAAUCUCAUGACCCUCCCCAAACUGCAACUCCAGAAAAAAUAUUUAUCUAGGUCCUUUUCCAACAUUGUAUAUUCAUUUCCAUUUGUCUUGUAACUUUUUACUGCAAUUAAACAAACAAGACUGUGCUUCAAAACAAAAAA